CUGACACUUUUUGCUUUGCCAACACAAUAUUUUUUGGUUUUGGUUCAUACAACCUUAAGUAAUCUUUUCUUCACCUUACGGAAAAACCCUAGCGUUUCAGCUAACCCCUUUUGGAAUGUAUCCAAAAGGAAUCUGCUUAAGCUAGCAAUGACCACAUUACAGUGUUACGAAUUUUCAGUAAAUCUGAAUGAUGGUAUAUGGUCCCAAAAUGUUCCAGUUGGGGAUGGAUGUUUCAUGAUCGUUGUUACAGGAGUCAUACCUACACAUUGACAGACACACAUGGACAGACUCUGGAGUUAAGAGAUCUGCCAUUUCUGUGUAUUCAAAAGCCAUUUAAUGGCUUUAAUGAGAAGAAAAUUUCUACUGCUACUAACAGUUAAGCUUCCACAUAUGAUACAGAUAAGAGAGCUCAGUUGAACCAAAUUCCUUCUUUUGAAUAAUCAACAUAUUUUUUUAUGAAACUGAAGAGCUGGAACAGAUCAUCAGAGGUAAGAAGCAACCCUGUUUGACCUUCAGAUCCCAGAAGGGACAGCACUAAAAGCCAUCUGUCUACUUUUAAACUAAAGACAAGUUUACCUCCUGGUGCUGUUCUUCAAGGUAGAAUCUGUACCUCUGUGAGUCAAGAGCAAAGAAGCAAUGGUAAAGUAAACAAACCCAGUGGAAAAAUAAAUGAGCUGUUCUGCAACUAUGCAUCUUUACACUUCUUGGUCCAGUGGCCAGAACUCAGCUGAGCAAACUGCAAAAGCGAAGAAUGGGAUCCUGCAGAGCAUGCAAGAAAAUAAAAUGAUGAAGAAUGGGAACUGGGUGGGUUUAAAGUAUAUAUCGAAAACACUGAAGUACCUUUUAAGAACAAAAACUUUUCAGAAAAAAAAAGGGGGGGGGGAUUUUUUUAAAUGGUUUGUAACUAUGAUAAUUAAGUAAUAAUUAAAUGAAUAUGGAGUAAAA
Molecule: long non-coding RNA, 945 nt
Organism: Cygnus olor (mute swan)
Lineage: Eukaryota; Metazoa; Chordata; Aves; Anseriformes; Anatidae
Exons: 2
Source: RefSeq, a predicted model, not a curated record